CGAUUGUGGCAUCAUGAAGAUGUAGAUCAUGUAUUGAAAAAAAAUCUGGGAACUAGCAAAGUGAGAGGUAUGCUCUUUGAAAUGGCUGAAAUGAGAGAGAUCCACUUAAAUCCUCAUGCUUUCUCAGAGAUGGCUAAUCUAAGACUCCUUAUAGUAAAUAACUUAUAUUGGAGAUGCAAUAAUAAAGUUCAUGGUUUUGACAACAUUGAAUUUGAUUUCUCAGAGUUAGAAUGCCUCUGUUGGGAUUAUUACCCCUUCCCAUCGUUGCCUUUGAAAUUUGAUCUUGAUAACCUUGUUGUACUUAAGAUGCAAAACAAUAAUCUUUAACAACUAUGGACGGGCAUCAAGAAUCUUGCUCAUUUAAAAUACAUUGACCUAAGUCACUCAACACAUCUACUUGAAGUCCCAGACCUUUCAAAGGCCUCAAAUCUAGAGUGGUUGAUUCUAAGAAAUUGCAAAAGCCUUGUCAAUCUUCCAAUUGGCAUUCAGUCAAGGUCUUUAAGAGAUGUUUUUCUCUCUGGCUGCUCUAAUCUCAACACUGCUCCAAGGAUAUCAGGUAAUAUGGAAAGAUUGUGCUUGGAUGGAACUGCAAUAAAAACCUUAUCGUCUUCCAUAGAAAGCCCUUCCAGACUAGUUGAAUUGAAUCUUAAGAAAUGCUUAAGCCUUGAAAGUCUUCCAAGCAGCCUUUGUAAUUUGACAUCUCUUUG
Long non-coding RNA from Mangifera indica (mango), 707 nucleotides. RefSeq lists it as uncharacterized. The transcript has 3 exons. NCBI's taxonomy places the organism in Eukaryota, Viridiplantae, Streptophyta, Magnoliopsida, Sapindales, Anacardiaceae. The record is from RefSeq and is a predicted model, not a curated record.